GAUCAUGGCUCAGGAUGAACGCUAGCUACAGGCUUAACACAUGCAAGUCGAGGGGCGGCAUGGUCUUAGCUUGCUAAGGCCGAUGGCGGCCGGCGCACGGGUGAGUAACGCGUAUCCAACCUGCCUUACACUCUUGGACAGCCUUCUGAAAGGGAGAUUAAUACAAGAUGUUAUCAUGAGUAAGCAUUUUCGCAUGAUUAAAGGUUUACCGGUGUAAGAUGGGGAUGCGUUCCA
Molecule: ribosomal RNA, 234 nt
Filed under: uncultured bacterium
Lineage: Bacteria
Description: partial 16S ribosomal RNA
Rfam family: Bacterial small subunit ribosomal RNA
Source: RNAcentral